GACGAACGCUGGCGGCGUGCUUAACACAUGCAAGUCGAACGGAAAGGCCCUGCUUUUGUGGGGUGCUCGAGUGGCGAAAGGGUGAGUAACAAGUGAGUAACCUGCCCUUGACUUUGGGAUAACUUCAGGAAACUGGGGCUAAUACCGGAUAGGAGCUCCUGCUGCAUGGUGGGGGUUGGAAAGUUUCGGCGGUUGGGGAUGGACUCGCGGCUUAUCAGCUUGUUGGUGGGGUAGUGGCUUACCAAGGCUUUGACGGGUAGCCGGCCUGAGAGGGUGACCGGCCACAGUGGGACUGAGAUACGGCCCAGACUCCUGCGGGAGGCAGCAGUGGGGAAUAUUGCACAAUGGGCGGAAGCCUGAUGCAGCAACGCCGCGUGCGGGAUGACGGCCUUCGGGUUGUAAACCGCUUUCGCCUGUGACGAAGCGUGAGUGACGGUAAUGGGUAAAGAAGCACCGGCUAACUACGUG
This 468-nucleotide ribosomal RNA is filed under the name uncultured bacterium. RNAcentral describes it as "partial 16S ribosomal RNA". It matches the Rfam family "Bacterial small subunit ribosomal RNA", at positions 28 to 507 of the family's 1533-position model. The record is from RNAcentral.